This 74-nucleotide transfer RNA is filed under the name Nitrososphaerota archaeon. Its description in RNAcentral is "Thaumarchaeota archaeon tRNA-Val". It matches the Rfam family "tRNA". From Rfam's summary of the family: Transfer RNA (tRNA) molecules are approximately 80 nucleotides in length. RNAcentral also lists the same sequence under 1 other name. Lineage: Archaea; Thermoproteati; Nitrososphaerota. The record is from RNAcentral.
GGGCCGGUAGUCUAGCUCGGCAGGACGUCGCUCUCACACGGCGAAGGUCGCCGGUUCAAAUCCGGCCCGGCCCA